RNAcentral lists this small nucleolar RNA (104 nucleotides) under Colletotrichum fioriniae PJ7. Its description in RNAcentral is "A. fumigatus snoRNA Afu_513". It matches the Rfam family "A. fumigatus snoRNA Afu_513". The record is from Rfam by way of RNAcentral. Lineage: Eukaryota; Fungi; Ascomycota; Sordariomycetes; Glomerellales; Glomerellaceae.
UUACAUGAUGAAGCGGCACUGGGCUCUGAGAGUACCCAUACGGGACUCGGCCAUGAGCAGACAAGCCACUUUGCGGCAGGCCUAGAAAACCUCGCCCACUGAUU